CAUGUUUGUGUGAACACUGCUGUACAUAGCAACAAAACGUUUCUAAAUACUGACGGAACAAAAGUAAGUGUUACAGACUUUAGUUACCAAUAAUGAAGAUACUAAUGCAUGUAGAAAAGGAUCACCGAUUGACAAUUAAACCACAUUACUGAAUGAAGACGAAAAUAGAAAUGGGAAAAAACGUGUCCAAGCAUAUCUGUUUCUUCUAUCUGUGCCAAGUUCAAAGAUGAUGUCCUUCAGAACAAAAAAGAUGAAGUUUUGCACAUACUUUGUGUAAAUCUCCUUUCACAAAAUCCUGAAUGUGUCUGAAGCUGCUUGUUGUCAAUUAUUGAAAUUAAACUGAAUAUUCAACAAAUCACUACAAGCGAAAAUGCUUACGAAAUGGAUAUAUAUCAUGGAUUUGAAGAGAAAGAAAUACGUACUGAUCAACAGUUGCCAAUUGGACACAUUGAACAAGAGGCCCAGACAAGUUCACGUGUUGCAAAUAACCGCUCACAAUCAAAAGUUUCUUAACUACACCAAACCUAUUCGUUCGUUCGUUCGUUCAUUUUUUGUCAAUCCACCCUUUCAUUCAAAAGUGCCCGAAACCAUAGAGGUAUAUGGGCACGUUAAAAACAUAUCUAAGUCUAAGUCAUUCAAAAUAUAUUAUCAUAAAACAAUGCAUACAGAGCUCUUAAAGGGACAUUCCUGAGUUUGCUGCAAUUUUAAAGAUAUUAUCAACUAACAGAGACUUUUUGACG
Molecule: long non-coding RNA, 740 nt
Filed under: Gigantopelta aegis
Lineage: Eukaryota; Metazoa; Mollusca; Gastropoda; Neomphalida; Peltospiridae
Description: uncharacterized LOC121369118, transcript variant X2
Source: RNAcentral